UACGUAGGGCGCAAGCGUUGUCCGGAAUUAUUGGGCGUAAAGAGCUCGUAGGCGGCCUGUCGCGUCUGCCGUGAAAGCCCGUGGCUUAACUGCGGGUCUGCGGUGGAUACGGGCAGGCUAGAGGCUGGUAGGGGCAAGCGGAAUUCCUGGUGUAGCGGUGAAAUGCGCAGAUAUCAGGAGGAACACCGGUGGCGAAGGCGGCUUGCUGGGCCGGUUCUGACGCUGAGGAGCGAGAGCGUGGGGAGCGAACAGG
This 253-nucleotide ribosomal RNA is filed under the name uncultured bacterium. RNAcentral's name for it is "partial 16S ribosomal RNA". It matches the Rfam family "Bacterial small subunit ribosomal RNA", at positions 524 to 776 of the family's 1533-position model. The record is from RNAcentral.